This 160-nucleotide small nuclear RNA is filed under the name Thelohanellus kitauei. Its description in RNAcentral is "U1 spliceosomal RNA". It matches the Rfam family "U1 spliceosomal RNA". Rfam says of the family: U1 is a small nuclear RNA (snRNA) component of the spliceosome (involved in pre-mRNA splicing). The record is from Rfam by way of RNAcentral. Lineage: Eukaryota; Metazoa; Cnidaria; Myxozoa; Bivalvulida; Myxobolidae.
AUACUUACCUGACGCGGGAGGCACGGUGAUCAGGAAGGCCGUCCUCUCAGGGCGAGGCGGGGACAUUGCACGAAGUACCGGCUGACCUCUGCGAUUUCCCCACUAGGGGAAACUCGGGCGUAUAAUUUUUGUUCUGGAGGUUGCGUUCGCGCAGCCUCUC